AACGUAGGUCACAAGCGUUGUCCGGAAUUACUGGGUGUAAAGGGAGCGCAGGCGGGAAGACAAGUUGGAAGUGAAAUCUAUGGGCUCAACCCAUAAACUGCUUUCAAAACUGUUUUUCUUGAGUAGUGCAGAGGUAGGUGGAAUUCCCGGUGUAGCGGUGGAAUGCGUAGAUAUCGGGAGGAACACCAGUGGCGAAGGCGGCCUACUGGGCACCAACUGACGCUGAGGCUCGAAAGUGUGGGUAGCAAACAGG
RNAcentral lists this ribosomal RNA (253 nucleotides) under Faecalibacterium prausnitzii. Its description in RNAcentral is "partial 16S ribosomal RNA". It matches the Rfam family "Bacterial small subunit ribosomal RNA", at positions 524 to 776 of the family's 1533-position model. The record is from RNAcentral. Lineage: Bacteria; Bacillati; Bacillota; Clostridia; Eubacteriales; Oscillospiraceae.